This 433-nucleotide ribosomal RNA is filed under the name uncultured bacterium. RNAcentral's name for it is "partial 16S ribosomal RNA". It matches the Rfam family "Bacterial small subunit ribosomal RNA", at positions 29 to 507 of the family's 1533-position model. The record is from RNAcentral.
AACGAACGCUGGCGGCAUGCCUAACACAUGCAAGUCGAACGAUGCCUUCGGGCCUAGUGGCGCACGGGUGCGUAACGCGUGGGAAUCUGCCUUUCGGUUCGGAAUAACUCAGGGAAACUUGAGCUAAUACCGGAUAACGUCGCAAGACCAAAGAUUUAUCACCGAAAGAUGAGCCCGCGUAGGAUUAGCUAGUUGGUGAGGUAAAGGCUCACCAAGGCGACGAUCCUUAGCUGGUCUGAGAGGAUGAUCAGCCACACUGGGACUGAGACACGGCCCAGACUCCUACGGGAAGCAGCAGUGGGGAAUAUUGGACAAUGGGCGAAAGCCUGAUCCAGCAAUGCCGCGUGAGUGAUGAAGGCCUUAGGGUUGUAAAGCUCUUUUACCCGGGAAGAUAAUGACGGUACCGGGAGAAUAAGCCCCGGCUAACUCCGUG